Non-coding RNA from Parelaphostrongylus tenuis, 71 nucleotides. Lineage: Eukaryota; Metazoa; Nematoda; Chromadorea; Rhabditida; Metastrongylidae. The record is from the annotation of a GenBank genome assembly.
GCCUCGGUGGUGUAGUGGUAGCACGCCUCUCCGGUAUAGAUGAAACGCGGGUUCGACCCCUGACCGGGGUC